Asparagus officinalis (garden asparagus) is the source of this 336-nucleotide long non-coding RNA. RefSeq lists it as uncharacterized. The record is from RefSeq and is a predicted model, not a curated record. Lineage: Eukaryota; Viridiplantae; Streptophyta; Magnoliopsida; Asparagales; Asparagaceae. The transcript has 2 exons.
UUCACUUGGCAUUAACGUUUGGAUUGUAGUGAAUAGCUGGGGGAAGAAAUGAGGUGACGAAGGUUAUUGUCGAAUCUGUAGAGACUCAAGUUUGCCUUCAGGCAAAACAUCAAUUUUAAGUAGAGCUUCCUACCCUGUGCUUGAUGACUGAGGACAUGGGAAGGAGCAGAGAGACAAGAGCAAAGAUGGUUCAAGAACGUUAAAUGAUGUUUAUGUAAAUGAAUUGAAGAUCUCUUCCCUGUAUGAUAUAGUCUAUUAUCUGCAUGCUACUUGCUAUAUUUCUUGGACUUAUUGCUAAAUGCUUAACUGUUUCUUCGCUAUAUCUUUUAGGAUGAA